CACCGGCGGCGAAGGCGGCUUUCUGGACAGCAACUGACGCUGAGGCACGAAAGUGUGGGUAGCAAACAGGAUUAGAUACCCUGGUAGUCCACACCGUAAACGAUGAGCACUAGGUGUCGGGGUCGAUAGACUUCGGUGCCGCAGUUAACGCAUUAAGUGCUCCGCCUGGGGAGUACGGUCGCAAGACU
This 188-nucleotide ribosomal RNA is filed under the name uncultured bacterium. RNAcentral's name for it is "partial 16S ribosomal RNA". It matches the Rfam family "Bacterial small subunit ribosomal RNA", at positions 707 to 895 of the family's 1533-position model. The record is from RNAcentral.